Non-coding RNA from Monodelphis domestica (gray short-tailed opossum), 14210 nucleotides. The record is from RefSeq and is a predicted model, not a curated record. NCBI's taxonomy places the organism in Eukaryota, Metazoa, Chordata, Mammalia, Didelphimorphia, Didelphidae.
UGUUAACAAGUAUCUCAGCUCCUCCUAACCCUCCCCAAAUCAUAUUGGAUAUCAUCAGGGAGGCCAACAUGAUCAUAUAAAGUUUUUCAUGUCUUAUUUUUCUUUUCACUUUCUAGAUGUAACAUUCUCAAUUUAUUUUUCCAUUUUAGAUCUGUGGCUGUGUAUGAUGUUCUGCUUCUACUCAUUUAGCUGUUCAUUAUUUAGUAUAGUUCUUUCCAGGGUUUUUUUUAAUCACUGUUCUUUUUAAUGGCACAACAGUAUUCCAUCACAUUCAUAAAAGAGUUUUUUUAAUCACAGUUCUUUUUAAAGGCACAAUAGUAUUCCAUCACAUGCAUAUGCCACAAUUUGUUUAGCCAUUCCCAAACUGGUGAGCAUCCCCUCAGUCUCCAGUUCUUUAAUUUUUUUCACCCCAAAGAGAGCUGCCCAAAACUUCUUAGAACAUAUGGGCUCUUUUCCUUUUUCCCUGAUCUCCUUGUGAAAAGGAAAAUAUCUUUAUUGUUCUUAUAUUAUUGAUGAUAAACCAAGUGAUCAUAUGUAAUCAUUUAGGUAGGUAACUCCAACUAUGAUUCUUAGAAAGAGUUAGACCUAAUUAGUAAACUGUGCAUAAGAUAUCAAUUAUAAUAAUAGAAUAUUAACCAUAGUAUUAUAAAGGAUAUAGUUUGGCGUAUUAGAAUAUUAUAGCUCCUGCAUAGAGUAAGAGCUUUUACUUGAAGAAUAAAUCUUCAGUUCUGUGAAAUCAUGAAGAGAAGCUGAAACUUGUGCAGUAGGAAAUAAGCUGCUCAUUUGGAAUGGUGUGUGUAGAGCUGGCCUGAUAAGAUCAUAGGAAAACAAACUUGGCAUGUCCAUAUUCUGUUUGAUCCUGUGAAAAUUUACUCAUUACAGGCUUCCUAGAGUAUUUAUGGCAGAAAAAAAUUGCUUUGACCUUAUGCUAAAAUUUAUAACUUUUAUCAAAUGUUACCAGAACUUAUUACCAACCAUUAUUACAUUUUCUAACAUACUCUGAACAUUUUGUCUUGUUAAUUACUUAUGUUAAUUAACUGUCAAAAACCUAUAAAAUACACUUUUGAAGAUAGAAAGAGGGUCUUUGGCACAGACUGGGCAUGGUGAGACCUCUAGCUUUAAUUUCCACAAUUAAAGAUGGACCUUCAGCUCAAAAUGAUGGUCCAGAGAUUUCUUUAUUUCCUAUACUUGGGAAAUAGAUCCAGAGUCUAUACACAGUUUUAUAACUCUCUGGGAGUAAUUCCAAAUUGCUAUCUAAAAUGGCUGGAUCAGUUCACAGUUCCACCAAUAGUGCAUUGGUGUCCCUAUUUUUCCACAUCCCUUUCAACAUUUGCCAUUUGAUCCUUUGGUCAUUUUAGCCAGUCUAAGAGUAAGGUAAUGUUUCAGAAUUGUUUUGGUUUGCAUUUCUCUAAUCAAUAGUUGUCUAUAAAGGUCUUAACCCUAGUUUCAUGAUAAUUCAAUUUGAUUCUUUUGAAGAAAAAUACACAAAUACUAUAUUCUGCAUCAAAGGCAUAAUUGCUGGAAACAAAUUUUAUCUAACAUUAUCCUAGAUCCAAGCAUUUCUAGUUGAGAAAAAUAUCCAAACCAGCAUAGCUUCACAAGCUGGGUUCCUUAAGAAGCCAGGCACAAAUCUCUCUCAUUUACAAGACGAGAGAAGUUAAAUGAGUAACCACCUUGGAAGAAAAGAAAUUAAUUAGUGUAUUUGAUUGCUUGGGUUGGUAGCAGCAUCAGCCUCUUUUGGUACAGAUUGGGAUUUUUAUAGCUUUUUAGGUAGUCUUAAAGUACCCAGGCUCCUAAAGCAGACAAGAAAUGGGGUUGGCAGACAUGGUUGAUGGGGAAAGAAGUGUGAAGACUUCAGAGUCUCAGGAGUUAAUAAAGAUCAGGUUUUCUCCUAUGGAAAAAGGCAUGUCUUUGUGAUUAGUAACUUCUAAAAUAGCUGAUGACUCCUUUAAAUUAGAAUCAAUACUAUUAUUUACCUUUAAAGGGAAUAAAACACCACCUGAGGGUAUCUAUUGACACAACCCCACAGCUCAGUUUCUUUGACCUCAGACAUUUUCCCAUGUGAAAUGUUUACCCCAGAUGUGCCAGAUUCAUGUUCUUCUUCCCCUUCAACCUUGCUCCCUAUUCCUAAAGGCAACAAUGGAGUUGUCUCUUCCAUUCUUGUGGUAUUUACAAUAAUUUUUUGCAUCUUGUGGUCUCGUCUUCAGCAGCCACCUUGGUCCAGGUCCUUCUCAAAAGUUUUUGUCACCAGGUCAAGUCAGGGUUGAUACCAAUCCUUCGCAAUGGAAGAUCUUCCUUACCAAAUCACUUUGUUCUUUCACUGUUCUUUCAAUAUAUGGCUUCCACUGGGUAGUGUAUAAUCCCAGGAGAUAGCCCUGACCUUUUUGCCUGGACCUUGACUUUUAAUUUGUGUACUGAGCUCCCAGCAAGGCAACUCCUUUUACCAAUGCAGCUUGGUACCUCUUCUGCAAUUUCCACUCUUAGAGAGUUCCUUGGGGCACUGAGAGAUUAAAUGACAUUAAAUUAGUCUCUGAAUGACUUACCUGGGUUCCCACCACAAAUAUGUAUCAAAAAUAGGACUUGAACCUACUUAACUCUGACUCUGAGCAGGAUUAAGGCAAAGUAUAAAAAAUGGAUUAUGACUUAUCUGAAUGAAAAGAGUGUGGCUGAAACAUCUCUGCCACACAAAUACCAGGCAGAUGCCUCAUGCUUACCUCUACAGGCAUUGAUCUCACUUCAAGGCUAUAGGUCUGAACUAUAGACAAAUCUUUCAUAUACCUUUAAUCCCAGGGGUCACUGCUGGCCUAAUAAAACCAAAUCAUCAGACUAAAGUUGAUUUCAUCAAGUGAGAGAUGCUGGGCCAAGCCUGCAGCUGCCUGGUUGCAACAGGGCAGCAACCUCUGGCACUGGGCUACAGGCACACAGUGAUUUCACCAACUACUCAGUUUAGCUUGUGCGGUGAUAUGAAAACAUUCAAUCUGAAGAAAUGUGUCAAGGGUAAAGCUUGGGAGGGAUCACCUUCUGUCCUGUCUUCUAGCAAUUAUUUUUCUGCCACAAAUGUGAAUUGACAGUCACAGCUGUGCCAUUACCAUGUCCCCCAAACCAGGUCAAAACAAAGGCCAUACCUGAGGGUAUGGGCCAAAGGAGAAUUGACCAAUAAAUAGAAAGCUGGGCCCAAACCAUCUUACUACUUUUCAGAGUUACUAACCAGAUAAGGUAAGCUCUAAAAGGCAAGGUUCUGGUUACAAUGUUAGGGACACUUAGGAGCCAUUGUUUUCAUGGCACUUGGCACUAGCCAUUAACCAUUAAAACUGAGGUUAUACCAGUUCUAAGUAACUAGGGCAUAGAUCCAUAAUCCAAGGGAUUAAUCCAAAGGACAGAAUGUUUCAUUGGUACCAGGCCUUGUCAGUAGGAAGACCUCAAGUGCUGACACCUAGGCUUGAAUACUAGGACAAAAAUCCACUGUGACACAACCACUAGGCUAAAGCCAAUAUAGGUCCACAGCACCUCCCUGAUGCUGUGAUAGGCUGUGACUGCUAGCUCACAAAGAUGACAAGAUUGAGUUUGCAAUAAGCCUUGGAAGCCUGUCCCAUUGAAAAGUUAGGCCUGAGCAAUGGAAUGAAGUUCAUUUUGGAGUUCAACCACUAGUCCCUUGUCACUCUACUGGAUACCUAUCAUUAGGCACUGACUGUCCUAUACAGAGGCCUAGUUUUCUGGACCUCCUCUUUGCUGUGUCUUUAAUGAUCAAACAAAGGAAUCCAGAUUUCUGGACAACACCUCCAUUGGCCCUGGAUCACCAAAAAGGCUAUCUGGAACUCCUUACUAACAAGACUUCUAUAACAAUAUAAUUGUUAUAGAAUACUACUGUGCUAUAAGAAAUGACAAGCAGGAGGAGUUAAAAAAAAACCUGGAAAGACCUGAACUGAAGCAGAACUUGAAGAACAUUAUAUACAGUGACAGUAAUAUUGUAUAAUGAACAACUGUGAAUAACAUAUUCUCUCAGCAAUGUGCCAAAACUUUACCAAAGGGCUAAUGAUAAAAAAAUGUCAUUUACUUUCAGAAAAGAACUGAAUCUGAAUACAGACCAAAGCAAAUUUUUUCACUUUCUAAUUUUUUUCUAUGAGUUUCCUUCCCUCCCCCCCAAAAAAAUAUAGAAAAAAUGUUUUAUAUGACUGUAUAUGUAAAAUCUAUAUGAGACUACUCACCACCACCUCAAGAGUAGGGGGUUUUGGGGAUGAGGGAAGGAGAGAAUUCUAGACUAAAUAUUCUUUGAAAAAAUGUUGGAAAACUGUUUUGACAUGUAAUUGGGGGAAAAUUUUAAUUUAAUUAAAAGAAAAAAAGAAAUACCUUGGCUCAGAAUAUUUGAGUCCCAUAGAGUGACUGAUAGUAGGAAAUAUCUCAAAACUUAUCAAUAUAAAAGUAAAUGGCUAUUUUGAAAAGCUUUUUAAAAAAUGGAAUGGGAUAGCAGUUAUGUGCAAUUAUUAUCAAUGUAGCAAUGACCAUUUAGUUUUAAAUGGUAGUUACAUAUUAUCUUACUUUUAGAAAAAUGUAAAUAUAUAUUAACAGAAAUAUUUUACUUUGAAAUUUGUGAUUUUCUUGUUGUUUUAUUUUGAUUUUUUUGCAUAAUACCUACAUAAACUGUUUUAAAUGGUCUUAUGCAAUAUGUAGUAUAUAUAUUCGCAAUACAAAGUUAUUCUAAUCAAAUUACAGGGUAAAAUAAAAAUUCAUCAUUCAUAUUAAGCCUUUGUAUGUUCCUAUAAAAUUUCUUUAACUUCAUCAUCCCUACUUUCAUCUUUUAAUGCCAUCUUGGAUAGUGACAGUUAUAUUAGCAGAACCAACAUCUACAAUGAACAGAGUUUAAAAGUGAUCUACAAAAUCAAUGAAAGAAAAAUGAAAUAUUGGGAUGUGUCUCUAAAGAAAUAGUUAUUGGAAAUGUAAUGCAGUGGAUGAAUUAAUGGAAGAAUUUUCCAUUCUUGGAAUUCAGUGUCUUUACUGAAAGACCAAAACCAGUAACAAAGGAGUAUUCAUUAAUUAUCAUAAGCAUAAGUCAAUAACAUUUAAUCUCAUUGUCAAAGUGGAUUAAAACCAAAAACUUUGUUUUUGUUUGUCUGUUUGUAACCAAUAGGAGACAUUCAUUAAGCCAUGAUUGUGGUCAGGGAUGCUAGAAAAUCAGAGAAGAGUCAGGACAAGCCUUUAUCCUUCAAGAAAAUUAUACUCUACUCUUACAACACUUUAAAUAAGUUAUUCUGAGUGAUCUACAAAGGUUUUCCUAAAUUAUCCUAGUCCUUAAUAUAACUAUUUAUUGGACUUCAUUGCUUGCGGAAAGUGAAGAUUGCAAAAGAUAUCUCUGAAAUAGGUAUCUGGUAGUUUUGAAUACUGUUGUGGAUCAGGGAUCACAUAAUGGCCCCUCAGGAAUAACUAAGAUACAUUCUUCUGAUAUGGCCAAGGUUAGCCUUUCAUGUUCCAUUACAUGGAUCUUUCUUAUUAAUAUUCACAAGUUUUUUGUUGUCGUUCCUAUUUCAUUUUUGAAGAGGACCAAUGUCAACCCACGUGAGGUGUUACUUGUGCAUGAAUUGGAUUUAAGUGAGGUAGAGUUGCACAAAGUUGUUGGCAUCACACACUCAGAGUUGUGGAAAUCAAGUGGCAAGACAAAAGCCAAGAACACAAUGGUUCUGGAUGCAGUGCAUGAUUGGUGUCUAACUAAGCUCUGAGUGCUCCACUUAGAAGCAUCUGCUUCAUCUACGUUCAUUGCUAUUGGAACAUAUUGAUCUAAUCAGUCCCUUCUUGAGGGUGAUUCCCAGAUUAGAUUCUAACUCAUAUACAUUAUUCAUUUACAAAGAAGAUCCUUAAUAUAUGUCAUUUUAAAAGCUUUUUUCUAGAAUUGACUAAACUUGGCAAGAAUCUGUUUCCCUAAACUGUGGUUGUCUCAAAUUGCUCAAGUGUCUUUAUUAAAGUUGUGAAGUAGGAAAAUAAGUUUAAAAAUAAGUUUAAAAAAAUCACAAGUGGGAGGCCAAGAGGACCUCACAAGAGGUCUGUUCCACAAUUUCUCCACAGAUUUCUUGACUGAACAAAAAGGCAACAUGUCUGUCAAUCCCAGUAUUAAAAUGACAAAUCUGCAAAAAUGUUAUUUGGGAUAAGGAUCUUUUUCUAAUUAACCUUGGUCAACUUUGGAAGGCCCCUAAAAAAAGAAUAUAUAGUUCAUUUGGGUAGAAUCUGAAUUAAUGGCUCCACAAAUAAUUUUCAUUUUCUUAACAUAUAGCCUAUAACUUCCUUUUGUAGAUGCUCUGUACCAGCAUAUUCGAAUCUUUAACAAGUUUGAAUGCCCAGAGGGCAAAUACAAGCUGUCUGUGAGCCCCCACAUUACCUGAGAGAGAGCUGAGGGAGGAAGUGCUUGCUUUGGAUGACUAGACAGAGGAGUGGGGCAUGGAAAAAUUGUCCUCAGGAUCUGGGAAGAUGGGGAAUGGAGCAACUCCCUGAGUGCUGGCUCUGCAAGUGUGCCACAUCUUCACCAACAUCUAUAUAUGAGAUUUACAUUAGUUCAUGAAUAUUGCUAAAACAAAUUGAGAUUUUUAGCAAUUCACAGGUCCUGACAAUAAACAGCUAGCCCAAGAAGACCGUCUACCAUCAAUAAAAAUCACAGGAACCAAUGAAAGAGGCUGUUUCUGUUGCUAUGUAGUAAAUAUAUAAACAUGGAAACAAUUUGCUAGAAUUACAAAGGAUGCCAGAAAGAAUCCAUUGCAUCUGAUGCUUUCAUCAGAUUCCUGAGACAACUGAAGCCCAGCAAAGUUAAUGAUGACCCCCAUAUUCACACAGACAUUUAAGUAAGGGCCUAUCUCUGAGUCUCAAAAUAACAGUGCUCAUUCUAGGCUCCAAUAGAUAUAUUUGCUUCUGAAACACUGAAUAACUAACAUCAUUUGGAGCAAUCUGUGUUGCUUUAGGCAUCUGUCAGCAGAAAGUGGCAAGAAGAUGCUCAAACUGCAGCUUCAUUGGUAAAGGGAGUUUUUCAAUCUGGGAAUUCCUGAUAGAAUUCAUUACAAUUUCAUUCUUCAACCUCUUCCUAAUUCUCCUUUUCUUUCUAAAAGUUAACUAUUUCAAAUGUAUCCUCCCCUUUUUUCUUGCUGUCAAUUUUUUUCAGGAGACAUAGGACAAUACUCAUACCCUCCCUUACACUCUCCUAAGGGCUGAAGAACCCAAGGAGACCGAGUUCUUUUCUAAAACAAUGGUCCUUAUGAUGAGAAAUAUCCUGAAAUUGCCAAUAGAUUAUUGGCAUGGAUGGGAUAUGGACUGCUAAUUCUUUCCUGUUUAAACAGAAUCUUGUGCUAUCAGAAGUCUUUAGUGUCAUCUAAGCCUAGAAUCAAUGGAAAGAGCAUAUAGUACCCUAAUGGGAGGGUACAAACUGGAAUAAGAUGACGAGAGUGGAGACAAUCCUGAAUGAGUUUAUUGGACUAAAUUCUCUCUCAUAUUCAGAUGUUAUAACAGUUAAAACCGCUGCCAAUCUGUCUAGAUUUUAAUUACAUAUUGUUUCCAUAGCACCACAAAAGCCAAUCAGAUUCUCAUUAGCCAUCCAUCAUGAGACAGAAAUCACUCAAUCUCUGCAGUCCAUGUCAUUGAACUCUAAGACUUUUGAAUCAACUCUAGUCAAAACAGCAAGGUCCUAUGGAGUCUUUUAAUUAAUUGAUCAGCAUAUAAAGAGUCUCAUUUGGACUGAUCACUAAAAAAUUAAAUGGGUCAUAUCUAUUAAGAAAUCGAAUGGGGGUGGUGGUGUUAGAUAUAAUGUUCCUCUCCAGUCCCAGUAGCUGGGCCAACAACACUUUAAAGGCUACUAUUAUAAUGGUCCCUCAUUAUUAAAGUGAUUUCAAAAAGUCUUUUACAGACAUAUUCACCCUUAAUAUUUUUUUUGGGGUGGGGGAGGAGUUAUACCUCUAGGCACUAUUUAAAAUGGACCAUUGUCUUAUGCUUUAUCCCUUGACCCUUAGUACAAAGUUAACUAUUAUGCAUUUGUGAGCUAAGUUAGCUGCUCCCUACUACUGGUGAUCCCUUGUGCCUUGAUCUUUAAUAUCUGCUUCAAGACCUCACUGUAUUUCCUCUUCAUUUUUGGGAGUUCCAAUAAAAUAUAUGAUAGAGAGUACAAAUGUAAAUUCUGAAAUCAUUUAGUGCAAUAAGAAAUGUCAGGCAAUUUUAUGAUUGACUGGAUGAAUUGGUAGAAUAAUGUUCUCCUUUGCAGGGUCCUUUUACUGAUGUCCUAUUAUGCCUCUUAAGCUCUAAAACAAUGAUACUGAUGAUGAGAAAUAUUCUGAAUUGGCAAAUCAAUUAGAUUUUUUAGGACAAUUUCUCCACUAAUUUAAGCGUGCCUCUUGCUAAAGAAAUAUUCAGUAACUUCUCUGCAUGGAGUUCCUGAAAUAGAUAUCAUAUCAUCAGCCUUAGUGAGUAGGAAAAGGAUUAAGAAGAUGAGAGAAGUAACAAUUCUGGAAGAAUUUCUUCUCGGAUCAAGAAAACUGGGAUAAAAUUAUGUCUCAAAUAUAGAGUUAGAGAACACAAGCUAUCCUUCAAAAGCCCAGAGUUUAUUUUUUUCUUUCUUAUUUCAAUGUCUGACCCUAAAGUACAAACUUGGGAAGUGGUUAUUUUUUAGAAUGGGUUCAGAAUGUUUCCUGAACAUGAACAUGUAAAAACAAAUCCAUGUCUCUUGUGUAUGAUGUUUAAAUGUUCUUAUAAUCCAGAUUAUGUGAAAUAUUUUUCAAUUUAUUAAGAGUUUUAUAUGGAAGCCUUAAUUAAGGGAAAUGCUUACAAGAGGUGUUUGUAGCAAUGACAUCAUCCAGGUAGAGAUGUUUCUUGAAUUAAGUACUGGUUCAGGAACAUAAGAUUAACCCGUUCUUCUCCUAAGUCUUCUAAACCAAGGCAAAUUUAAAUUAAACACUGAAUGCAGUUACAUGGCUCUGAAAGAUUUGUAUUGAAUACUCAAAAUAUUUUGGAAAUAAUGAAUCAGAACAGUGUGAAUCCAUGGAAAGGCCUUAUAAAGUAUCAAUAGGAAAAUAGAGACCCAUUUUGAAGGAGUUUUUAAUAAAUGGAAUAGAUGUCUUAUCAAUUACUAUCUUUGUAGUGAUGACCAAUCCAUUUUAAAUGAUAAAUAUAUAUUGUCUAAUAUAUUUGUAGAGGUAUUUUAUUUCAGAUUUGUUUUUGCUUCUGUUUCAUUUUUAUUUUUUGUAUUAUGUAACUAUACACUUUAAAAUGCUCAUAUAGGCUAUAUAUCUUAGGCUUCUGUAGAGAUGUAGCUCUAAUGUAUUUUAGAGUUUAAAGUAGACGCUCACCCAUUCAUAAUGAUCCCCAUCAUCUAAACCUUGUAAGAAGAUACUUUUUCUCACCUUCUGUUUUUUUUUUUUGUUUGUUUGUUUGUUUUGUCCUUGGGCUUUAUAAAUGAUUUAUACCACAUGUACCAUCAUCUACAAUAAAAAAUGUUAAAUGCAAUUUGACUACUACAUCUGUAUCCCAAAGAGAUCAAAUAAAAAGGAAAAGGACCUCUAAAACUACAAAAAUAUUCAUAGUAGCUCCUUUUUGGUGAUAAAGAAUUGGAAAUUGAGGGUAUCAACAUGGAAUCUAAGAGAACCUCAAGUUUUAGAGUUAGCUUGUAAGAUGGAGACCCCAAGUUUUCCCUUUUGUCCCAUGAGACUUUGCCUCUAGGGAGGUCACAGAUUCUGCCAGUUUCAGACUGAAAAAUAGACCCUAACAUUAAUGAUAAUUAGAUGGGGUUAAGAAAUGCUAAGUAUUCUUUUUGUCUUAGUAGACUUAGUAGAGAUCCUUCCCAAGAAGACCAACCCCUGGGCAGGGACCAUCUUUUUAGUGUCCAUUGUAAGUAGUCCAUUCCCUUACACCCUCCCCUCUGGCUAUGGUUCCUUUCCCAAGCCUGUCAGUGUAGUUCAGUGAUGGGCAACCUUUUGAGCUUGGUGUGUCCAAAUUCACCAAAAAAACCGAGCAUAACUCGGGUGGUGUGUCAUUUCGAGAAAAAAACCAUAAUUUUGCGAUAUUUAAGUUUAAAUAACAAAAAUAUAUAAUUGUACUGUAUUUAAUAAACCAAAAACUAAUUAUUUAUCAUUCCUGCUCAGUCAGUCAGUUUAUUUUGUUGGUCUUGAUAUUAUUUAACUUGUGUGGGUUGCUGUGAACUAAGAUAAGUGAGGGGGAGGGGGAAUUCUUUAACUAACUGGCCUAUUAGUGACUUUUUUGUUGCUGAAUUUAAUUGGCUAAAUCUUCAGUUGAAGGUUGGUAUUUUGUACACUUCAAGCCUAAGCAAGUGCUACUAACUUCAUCUGUCAAUCUAUUUCUUUUGUUGGUUUUGAUAUUAUUUAACACUGCGAAUAAGGUCUCACAAAAGUACGUAGAGGGAAAAAUUGUGAAUAAGCCAUUGCUAUAUUUUUCAGGGUGCUAAAAGCGUCUGGUAAUCAGUUCCAGGCACUCCUCCAUUGCAAGUGGGCUGGAGUCCCGCACAGUCUUCCACUGGCUGGUCCCUGUCCCUUCCCUUCCCAUGCCAACUGUCAGGUGUGGGGGUGCUGCAGCUACUAGCUGCCAGUCUGCUUGCCAGGGCAUGCUCCUUUUGCAGGGACACACUCCUUCUUCCUAUCUCCACGGGAACCCCACAAGCCCCAACCACCUGGCAGGUGCUGCACACUGCUCUCUCCCCACUACUCUCCCCCUCCCCUGUGGUCAGUGUAUGGAACAUCCCUCCUCCGGGACCAGGCCAGGAUAUGGCCAUGGCCAGGGCUUCAGGCACACAGCUCUCAGGCCCCAAGGUGCACUGAGCCUGAAUGAAGCUGUGUGUUAUAGAAAAUGUGUGUCAAUGAUGACAAAUGUGUCAUAGGUUCGCCAUCAUGGGUGUAGUUUGAACACUCCCAUUUUCUUGUAGCCAUGGCAAUGUCAAUCAAUCGUAUUUCCUUGGCCCUCAAUCCCUCCCUAAAAGUAUAUAAGCUUUCCAAUUUCUUUUAUUCUUGGGAGCUGUCAAUAUAGCAUGGUUGGCAAGUUCCCAGGGGUCAGUGGCCAAAGCAGCCAGAGUCUUGGAGCUCUGUGUGGGUUUGUGGCCCCCAGUUCUAUGUGAAGGCCUUUAGGAAAUAUGCCAAACCCCUUUCCUUAAUUAAAAAAGUGAUUUUUCUGUUAAUAGUUCUGUGUUUUUUUCCAGUUUAACAAGGGAAUGCUUAUUAAUUGGGGAAUGGAUGAACCAGUUGUGGAAUAUGAUUGUGAUGCUACUGGAGGUGGGGGUGUGCUUUCAAGAAAAAACAACAACAUGGCAAGAUCUAUAUGAACUGAUGCAAAGUGAAGUGAGAAGAGCUUGGGCACAGAGUAAUGUAAUGUUGAUCAACUGUGAAAGGUCUUAGUUACUCAAAUCAUUUCAAUAAUCCAAGAUAGUUACAAAGGACUCAUAAUGGGAAAAAUGCUAAUCACCUCCAAAGAAAUAACUAAUAAACUCUUGAGUGCAAAUUGAAGUAUAAUUUUUUUCAUUUUCUUAAUUUUUAUUGCUUUAAAAAUGAGUUAAUAUGGAAAUAUCUUGGAUAGUUUUGCAAGUAUAACUGACAUCACAUUGCUUGCCUUCUCAAUGAGUGUGGAGGGAGAAAGAAAAUAUGGAAUUCAAAUUGUUUUUUAAAAGUAGGAUAUUAAAAAUAAGUAUAUUUUUAAAGUUAAAAAAUGAAUUUCUAGAUCUAAUAUUACUCAUUUAUUAAAGAAUAGUACUAGCCCUACCUCCAUCAUUAAACAUGGAAAAUCUCCUCUGUCUUGUCCUUUCUUGGGCACACUAAGGGAGUUGUGAGGGAUCAGAGGAAGUAACAUUUGAAAUUAGUCAGUGAAGACAAUUACUCUGAACAAUUCUGACCAAGUCCAUUGGAUAUCUGAGCCUCAACCUUCUUUGUAGUGAUUUUGUUAUUUUUCAUUGGUGUCUGACUCAUCCUGACCCCAUUUGGGGUUUUCUAGGCAAAGAGUAAUUUGCCUUACCCUUUUCCAGAUCAUUUUAAAGAUGAGGAAACUGUGGCAAAGAACGUUAGGUGGCUGCCCAGGGUCACACAACUAAUAAGCACCUGAGCCCAGAUUUGAUCUCUGGGAGAUGAGUCUCCCUGAUUUCCAUCCUCCACUCCAUCCACCACACUACCUAGCUACCCUGAGUUCACUUGUAUGUAAAAUACGGAGGUCUUAGACAACAAUAAAGUUUAGGUCUUUUGACAGCAGAACAGUAUUCCCCUCCCCAAAGCAGACUAGAUAAAUUCCCAUUCUGUCAGUCUGUACCCACAUAGGCUCUCCAUAUUCCCUAUCAGACUUAAAUGAACUCUUCUCUUGGAGAGUUUGACCACAAACAAGUAUUUAGUUAGAAAAGCAGUUCUAGGUCAUAGACAACCUUUCAUAACAACAUUCGAAUUCGAAAGAAAUCUCUAAAGAACUGUAUUUCGAAAAAUGAUCCCAUCGGGUGUGUCAGUUACUUGAAUUAAAAUAUCCCCUAUCUCCUUCUUACCCGGGGAAAAAAGUCGGGAAAGUAAAAACCCAAGAACGACCUCAGGGAAUUUUGGACUCUCUUUUCUUCUUCCUUCCCAUCUGCUAGGCGAGGCACAGUGCCUCCCGCCCUCCUUGGCUACUGUGUAGCACUCUGAUCUGCUCCUGCACUUGAAGGGCCGCGAUCAGGUGGCUCCGAAGCUUACUUCAAAGGCAUUUUCCUCUGGGCGAUGGGACCCGAUUCUCCUCCGCCAAGAAGGUGUCCUCCUUCUUUCCGAGCUUAAGCUGCUCCCCAGUCAGAUGAUUUUCCCGUGUCCUAGGAAGGUAGUGGACACGAACCCCCAGGAAGCAUAACCAAGAUGCCUUAUGCCUCCUUCUCUUUUCCUUCGUUCUGUACUCCAGAACGCAGUUUCGGUUUUAGGUUUUACCUCAAAACAUCUGCAGCAUAAAUUGCCAGGCUGGACCGGGCUCAGUUUUCUUGCCUCUCAAUGGGGCGGGGCUAUCUCUCCGCCAGUGAAAGCCUAGGGCCACCCCGAAGUCCUGCCAAGAAUCUGAGAAUUACAUGCCUGCGGAGUAGCUGGUGAGACAGAUGGGUGCUGCAUGGAAACUUGAGGUGAUUACAGCGACUCUGAUGUGAUUCGAACGACUCCCCUGGGUGAAAUCCUCAGAUCUCUUUACCUUCCUUCACACUCACCCACCUACCCACCCCCAGUGACUGAAGCCUCAUUGCCCAAAAGCGUUAGAAGUCUCUACGGCGCAGGUGAAGUCUGUCUGGAGGGAGAGGCCGGGACCCUUUGGGAACCUGCUUUUUUGUGAUUUUGAGCUAGGUGGAGCAAAGCACCAGUCAAGCUUCAAGCAAGGACAGCACUGCAGUUGGGUGAGAGAUAGUGGAAAAACGAGGUUGGCGUCCCCUACUGGAGAGCUGACUUCGAGGGAGACGUGGCUUCAAAGCUGCGCCCUUCUGGGUUUAGAACCCAGUCUCUGGGCUUUUAGCUUCUCCUCGAAGGGCUAUCCUUUUCGUCCAGCAGCUGAAGGUGGAGCUUUGAGGGUGUUCCUGGGGAAGAAUUAGGCCAUAGUUUUCCUUCUCGGGUUCAAGGAACUGGAAUCCUCACUUUUUAAAGAGAGACCCGAAUGGCUCAUUUCAGGUUGACUUUAUUUUAAAGUAUGGGGAGAAAGAAGGAAUAGAGGGUGGAGAAGACGAACACUUUUUUUUUUUUAAUUCCUCCCGGGACGCUAGUCUCCUUGAGAGAGGACUGUGAGCUUGGGAUAGAGAAUGAUUAGGUGCUGUUCCUGAAGGAGAGAGAAGACAGCCAAAGGAAAGGAGGGAGGAGCCUUUAAAGACCUAAUGGCCGGGCGGACUCAAUCCGACUGGAAAGGGCAGUCUGCCAACCGCACCUCCAGCGCAUAACUCUGGGGCGCCCAGAACCAGCAGGGGGACGCCUUUGACCCACAUGGAGGGGAGAUAAGGACUUGACAUGGCACUGAUAGAGUUGUCAGCUCUUCUUCCCCACCCCCUCUGCCCCACUUGCCAUCCAGAACUACUAUUUGCCUCUGGUCAUCUUUUUUAAAGGACAAGAAAGGUAGUUCUUACAGUUGAUUUGACUUCACUUUGAAAUUGGAAAGUGAACUAUCCAGAAGCACUCAUAGCAAUUUAAACAUUUAAUUGUAUCAUUGAAGGGAAAUAAUAAUUAUAUUUUUGUCAUUUGACUUAAUCAACUGCCAAAAUAUACAAUAAAGUAACUGAUCAAGACUCA